Molecule: unclassified non-coding RNA, 347 nt
Filed under: soil metagenome
Description: partial contains 5.8S ribosomal RNA, internal transcribed spacer 2, and large subunit ribosomal RNA
Rfam family: 5.8S ribosomal RNA (bases 1-119)
Source: RNAcentral
GAUGAAGAACGCAGCGAAAUGCGAUACGUAAUGUGAAUUGCAGAAUUCAGUGAAUCAUCGAGUCUUUGAACGCACAUUGCGCCCCCUGGUAUUCCGGGGGCAUGCCUGUCCGAGCGUCAUUGCUGCCCUCAAGCACGGCUUGUGUGUUGGGCCCCGCCCCCCGGCUCCCGGGGGGCGGGCCCGAAAGGCAGCGGCGGCACCGCGUCCGGUCCUCGAGCGUAUGGGGCUUCGUCACCCGCUCCGUAGGCCCGGCCGGCGCCCGCCGGCGACCCCCCUCAAUCUUUUCAGGUUGACCUCGGAUCAGGUAGGGAUACCCGCUGAACUUAAGCAUAUCAAUAAGCGGAGGA